This 550-nucleotide long non-coding RNA is filed under the name Brassica napus (rape). RNAcentral describes it as "long non-coding RNA (BNAP_LNC011760)". Lineage: Eukaryota; Viridiplantae; Streptophyta; Magnoliopsida; Brassicales; Brassicaceae. The record is from RNAcentral.
CGCUGCAGAUGGCCGCAGCAAAAGGCCGCUGUUAGCAUCCAGCUGGAUUUUGACAUGUACGGAGGCCGCUGCAAAGGGCAGCUGUGAACAUCCAGCUGGCUAGGGAACAUGUACAUAUGCCGCUGGAAAAGACAGUUGUGGUUGUUGGCACGGCUUGCGGAUGACUUUUGCUUGCAUCAGUUACACGGCACUGCUGCGUCUUCCCGAUUCAGAAUCCACAUAUUUUCAUCGUCAUGGAGUUUUUGUCACCAUGCCGUUGCACCAUGCCACUAUGACACUUAGGCUCCAAUUCGUUUCAUGACCAAAAUCACUCUUUUUGCCUUAAAUCAGCUUUAUAUGCUCCAAGUUCACCAAGUUGCAUUUUUACCAUCUAAUAGGGACAUAUGCAUGAAAAUUCAACCUAUUGUUCUCUAAAUGCUAAUAUAAAUGAUCAAUAUGCAUACUAAAUGGAUGAAUAAAUCAAUAAAAACACAAGAUGUCAGUAACCACCAAGUAUCCGUUUGAAAAGUGUAAAUAACCCUCUGACCAUAGUCGGGGUGUUGUAGGCACA